Molecule: long non-coding RNA, 589 nt
Organism: Sarcophilus harrisii (Tasmanian devil)
Lineage: Eukaryota; Metazoa; Chordata; Mammalia; Dasyuromorphia; Dasyuridae
Exons: 4
Source: RefSeq, a predicted model, not a curated record
UCUGAAUUCUUUUACUGCCAAAACUCAUGUCCUCUGGUUGUCUGGCUGGGAGACUCCUCCUUCCAUCUGAACUAUGGAAGACCUUUGGUGGUUCUUAUAACCACUGUAGGAACCAUCCUUUAGUACAGGAUUUUAAAUCUCAAGAGCUGUAAGGGACCUACAAGAUCACCUAGAACUCAUAUUUGACCAGGACAGUAUUGUUAACAAGAGGCCACCUAACAAGCAAACUCUUAUUGAGAAAGGACCAUUACAGAAUUAUGACCUUUUGGGGCAUUGAAGUGGACCAGUUACCUACAGAACUUGAGUGUAUGGUAGAGCUAGAAGUGAGAGAAGUAUUGGUAGUGUCACGGUAAUCAUAAAGGGGCCACAUUUGAUGGAGAGAACAGAGAAGAAUGCCGACUGCUGGAAACAGCUUCCAAGACAAGGCCGAUUGCUUUUCUUCCAUAAUCUAGGAAGCUGAGAAAGAUAUUGACAGCUGACAAGAAGGGAAAAAAUGAGGGAAAACCAGCCACAGGAACAAAGUCCUUGAAUAUAUUCCUACAUCACAGCUUGGGAUAAUAAUUGGUGCUUAGAAGAAGAGGCAUCAUGA